GCAAGAUUAAAACUCAAAGGAAUAGACGGGGACCCGCACAAGCGGUGGAGCAUGUGGUUUAAUUCGAAGAUACGCGAAGAACCUUACCUGGACUUGAUAUCCUUGGAAUCUUACAGAGAUGUGAGAGUGCUAGUUUACUAGAACCAAGUGACAGGUGCUGCACGGCUGUCGUCAGCUCGUGUCGUGAGAUGUUGGGUUAAGUCCCGCAACGAGCGCAACCCUCGUCCUUAGUUGCUAACAGUUCGGCUGAGCACUCUAAGGAGACUGCCUUCGUAAGGAGGAGGAAGGUGAGGACGACGUCAAGUCAUCAUGGCCCUUAUGUCCAGGGCUACACACGUGCUACAAUGGCUAGGACAAAGAGUAGCGAUACCGCGAGGUGGAGUAAAUCUUAAAACCUAGUCUCAGUUCGGAUUGGAGUCUGCAACUCGACUCCAUGAAGCUGGAAUCGCUAGUAAUCGUAGAUCAGCAAUGCUACGGUGAAUACGUUCCCGGGUCUUGUACUCACCGCCCGUCACACCAUGGGAGUCGAAUUCACCCGAAGUCGGAAUACUAGAUUAGUUACCGACCACGGUGGGUUCAGCAACUGGGGUGAAGUCGUAACAAGGUA
This 607-nucleotide ribosomal RNA is filed under the name uncultured bacterium. RNAcentral's name for it is "bacterial SSU rRNA". It matches the Rfam family "Bacterial small subunit ribosomal RNA", at positions 888 to 1498 of the family's 1533-position model. The record is from RNAcentral.